RNAcentral lists this ribosomal RNA (515 nucleotides) under uncultured bacterium. Its description in RNAcentral is "partial 16S ribosomal RNA". It matches the Rfam family "Bacterial small subunit ribosomal RNA", at positions 28 to 523 of the family's 1533-position model. The record is from RNAcentral.
GACGAACGCUGGCGGCGUGCCUAAUACAUGCAAGUCGAGCGGAUGACGGAGGAGCUUGCUCCUCCUGAUUCAGCGGCGGACGGGUGAGUAACACGUGGGCAACCUGCCCUGUAGAUUGGUAUAACUCCGGGAAACCGGGGCUAAUACCGAAUAAUCCUUCGGACCUCAUGGUCCGAUGUUGAAAGCCGGCAUCUCGCUGUCACUACAGGAUGGGCCCGCGGCGCAUUAGCUAGUUGGUGAGGUAACGGCUCACCAAGGCCACGAUGCGUAGCCGACCUGAGAGGGUGAUCGGCCACACUGGGACUGAGACACGGCCCGGACUCCUACGGGAGGCAGCAGUAGGGAAUCUUCCACAAUGGACGAAAGUCUGAUGGAGCAACGCCGCGUGAGUGAAGAAGGUUCUCGGAUCGUAAAACUCUGUUGUGAGGGAAGAACAAGUACCGGAGUAACUGCCGGUGCCUUGACGGUACCUCAUUAGAAAGCCACGGCUAACUACGUGCCAGCCGCCGCGGUAA